GCUUGGUUCCAAUUUUAACUUGAGUUUUUGUUUUGGUUUAUAGUUACAACUUUCUUUAUAGUAUGAAUUCAGCUUUGAUUUCAGUUUUAGAUCCUCAAAUCAUUGUUGUUUGUGUGUAGGAAAUGAGGUGGAAGAUAGUAUGGAUAUUAGGGAUUGUUUUCCAACUCAAAAUUAUUGGUAAGGAGGUGAAAAAUGAAGGGUUGGCACUCAAUAACUAAGGGGUCUUUUCACUAACAGCAAGACACGAACAACAAAAGGGGUUGAUGUUGGCUGUGAUAAAGCGAAAGCUGGUUUCAGCACUUAGUGAUGUUGGAGCCCAUUGUCAUGAAUUCCAUUGUCCACGGGAUUCAUAACAUUGAUAAAAGUAGAAAGCUGCAUCUUCUUAAGGACUAACAGGGGGACUGUUUGACAGACGUCAGCAGUAACUUGCACAAGUUCCUGAAAUCCAUCGCAAGGAGCGUCGGAUUGCCAUGACCAGUCCAACCGAGAAGAUGAAGCCACUACAAAUGGUCUUAUAUUGAAGAGCAGCCAAAGCAGAUGAUUGUCACUUGUAAGGGAAUGCUUGACCCUCUGGAGGUCCACUUUCUUGAUUUCCCCAAUGUGUUUAUCGAAGGCAGUGAGUUGCAGCUUCCGUUCCAGGAUUGCUUAAAGAUUGAGAAAUUUGGUGAUUUAAUUCUGAAGGCGACUGAACCAUAAUGCUUCUGUUAAUCUCUUCGAUGACUGGAUGAAGGUGAAGGUUUCUUUUAGGGAUCACUCUCAGAUUAUGCACAGAAGAAGAAUGUGAACGGAUCUGCACUGACCCUGUCUGGGAUUCGUGAUAUUAUUCUUGGUGCUUAGAUUACUCCACCCUUGCAACAACAUCAGCAGAUACAAGAGAUUGAAAAGCAACAAAAUUAAUCAAGCCAGCUGACAGCAGUCACAACAAAGAUUGAAAAGCUACAUAAUUAAUCAAGCCAGAGCAUGAUUUCUUGAACAACCUGGAGCCGCUUGGGUUUAUGGACUCCUUCAUAUCUUCUCUGAAUUUUAAUUUGAGGGUUAAAGAAGGGGCUCUUAUUGUGUCAUUUGCCUUAUCGAGGAGGGCGACAUUGUCUCAAACUUGGGUUACUGCAGGAAUUUUCUGUAUAGAGGUGGUGUUGGCUGAUGCUCUCAUGAGGGAGCACACAGCUCGACAGGAGGAUGAGCAGAACACAAACAAAGCGAGCGAGGUAGUUUAGAUUUGAAGGAAUUGGAGAGGAACACGUAAAUCUGUGGUUUGUGUGGCGGCUCCAGCGAAGAAAGCUGAAUCAGCAGCCAAGAAUGCUCGUCAAGCAGUUAAAAGACGGGUGGGCAACAAAGCCAAGAAAUCUGAGAUGAAGACGAUACUGGCUCAUAAGAUCAACCAUCAAAUGGAUGUUGAGGGUCUAAAGAAGGUGAACAAGGACAAAAAGUUCAUGCUUGAAGUCCCUUGGUUCAAAAGCUGAAAGUGUCGAAUUGAUGCGGUUGCUGAUCAAUUGCUUUCUCAUUUGGGUGGCCAUUUUCUAAAACAUCCAUAAGGUGCAGGUGCAAGGUUAACUUGCUAAAUACUUGUGUAAAUUCUUUGUAGAGGAAGAAUCCCUUCACACUUUUAUUAUCACACUAUCUCACACGUUGGACAUCAUUUUUGUGAAUAAAAAUCAAACCUUAACGGA
This is a long non-coding RNA of Papaver somniferum (opium poppy), 1667 nucleotides long. RefSeq lists it as uncharacterized. Lineage: Eukaryota; Viridiplantae; Streptophyta; Magnoliopsida; Ranunculales; Papaveraceae. The transcript is spliced from 7 exons. The record is from RefSeq and is a predicted model, not a curated record.